CCUACGGGGGGCAGCAGUGGGGAAUAUUGGACAAUGGGGGCAACCCUGAUCCAGCCAUGCCGCGUGUGUGAAGAAGGCCCUCGGGUUGUAAAGCACUUUCAGUGAGGAAGAACGCCUGGUGGUUAAUACCCAUCAGGAAAGACAUCACUCACAGAAGAAGCACCGGCUAACUCCGUGCCAGCAGCCGCGGUAAUACGGAGGGUGCGAGCGUUAAUCGGAAUUACUGGGCGUAAAGCGCGCGUAGGUGGCUUGAUAAGCCGGUUGUGAAAGCCCCGGGCUCAACCUGGGAACGGCAUCCGGAACUGUCAAGCUAGAGUGCAGGAGAGAAAGGUAGAAUUCCCGGUGUAGCGGUGAAAUGCGUAGAGAUCGGGAGGAAUACCAGUGGCGAAGGCGGCCUUCUGGACUGACACUGACACUGAGGUGCGAAAGCGUGGGUAGCAAACAGGAUUAGAUACCCCUGUAGUC
Molecule: ribosomal RNA, 465 nt
Filed under: Vreelandella stevensii
Lineage: Bacteria; Pseudomonadati; Pseudomonadota; Gammaproteobacteria; Oceanospirillales; Halomonadaceae
Description: partial 16S ribosomal RNA
Rfam family: Bacterial small subunit ribosomal RNA
Source: RNAcentral